UACAGAGGGUGCGAGCGUUGUUCGGAAUUAUUGGGCGUAAAGCGCGUGUAGGCGGCUUUGCAAGUCGGGUGUGAAAGCCCUCAGCUCAACUGAGGAAGUGCGCCCGAAACUGCAGAGCUUGAGUACCGGAGAGGAUGGCGGAAUUCCCGAAGUAGAGGUGAAAUUCGUAGAUAUCGGGAGGAACACCAGUGGCGAAGGCGGCGAUCUGGGAAGAUACUGACGCUGAGGUGCGAAAGCGUGGGGAGCAAACAGG
Molecule: ribosomal RNA, 253 nt
Filed under: uncultured bacterium
Lineage: Bacteria
Description: partial 16S ribosomal RNA
Rfam family: Bacterial small subunit ribosomal RNA
Source: RNAcentral